Molecule: ribosomal RNA, 239 nt
Filed under: uncultured bacterium
Lineage: Bacteria
Description: partial 16S ribosomal RNA
Rfam family: Bacterial small subunit ribosomal RNA
Source: RNAcentral
CGCACGGGUGAGUAACACGUGGGUAAUCUACCUUUCGGCGGGGGACAACACUUUGAAAAGGGUGCUAAUACCGCAUAAGUCCACUUCGGUGGGGAAAGAUGGCCUCUCCUUGGAAGCUAUCACCGGAAGAUGAGCCUGCGGCCCAUCAGCUUGUUGGUAGGGUAAAAGCCUACCAAGGCUACGACGGGUAGCUGGUCUGAGAGGAUGAUCAGUCACACUGGAACUGAGACACGGUCCAG